Molecule: long non-coding RNA, 259 nt
Organism: Myiozetetes cayanensis
Lineage: Eukaryota; Metazoa; Chordata; Aves; Passeriformes; Tyrannidae
Exons: 3
Source: RefSeq, a predicted model, not a curated record
UUCAGGUGCAUUUGCUGUGGAAUUUAUGUCUCCCAGGCAGCAGCUGCCCACUGCCCUGGUGAUCUUGGAACCAAGGGGACAGAGGCAAGGAGACAAGGCCUUCCUUCCAUAGGGCUUUCCAGGGAAUCUCUGUCAUACAGCACAGCUACAAGAAUCUUGGAGAUAUCUUAUCCUGGACUGUGAGUGCACACAGCACAUUUGCCUGAACCUCUGUGCCAUGCUGUUCACAGCAAGUUUUGUGAAACAUAUCAGAGCAUCA